CAGAGUUCAUGCCCUUCGGGGUAGACCUCCCACCCUUUGUAUACAUUGCCUUUGUUGCUUUGGCGGACCGCCCUUGGGCCACCGGCUCCGGCUGGUGCGUGUCCGCCAGAGACCCCAAACCCUGUUUUACAGUGUCGUCCGAGUACUAUAUAAUAGUUA
RNAcentral lists this unclassified non-coding RNA (159 nucleotides) under uncultured Chalara. RNAcentral describes it as "sequence contains ITS1". The record is from RNAcentral. Lineage: Eukaryota; Fungi; Ascomycota; Leotiomycetes; Helotiales.